RNAcentral lists this ribosomal RNA (253 nucleotides) under uncultured bacterium. Its description in RNAcentral is "partial 16S ribosomal RNA". It matches the Rfam family "Bacterial small subunit ribosomal RNA", at positions 524 to 776 of the family's 1533-position model. The record is from RNAcentral.
UACGUAGGGGGCGAGCGUUAUCCGGAUUUACUGGGUGUAAAGGGAGCGUAGACGGCAUGGCAAGUCAGAUGUGAAAGCCCGGGGCUCAACCCCGGGACUGCAUUUGAAACUGUCAGGCUGGAGUGCAGGAGAGGUAAGCGGAAUUCCUAGUGUAGCGGUGAAAUGCGUAGAUAUUAGGAGGAACACCAGUGGCGAAGGCGGCUUACUGGACUGUAACUGACGUUGAGGCUCGAAAGCGUGGGGAGCAAACAGG